Molecule: ribosomal RNA, 471 nt
Filed under: uncultured organism
Description: partial 16S ribosomal RNA
Rfam family: Bacterial small subunit ribosomal RNA
Source: RNAcentral
CACUCCUACGGGAGGCAGCAGUGGGGAAUUUUGGACAAUGGGCGAAAGCCUGAUCCAGCCAUGCCGCGUGCAGGAUGAAGGCCUUCGGGUUGUAAACUGCUUUUGUACGGAACGAAACGGCCUUUUCUAAUAAAGAGGGCUAAUGACGGUACCGUAAGAAUAAGCACCGGCUAACUACGUGCCAGCAGCCGCGGUAAUACGUAGGGUGCAAGCGUUAAUCGGAAUUACUGGGCGUAAAGCGUGCGCAGGCGGUUAUGUAAGACAGUUGUGAAAUCCCCGGGCUCAACCUGGGAACUGCAUCUGUGACUGCAUAGCUAGAGUACGGUAGAGGGGGAUGGAAUUCCGCGUGUAGCAGUGAAAUGCGUAGAUAUGCGGAGGAACACCGAUGGCGAAGGCAAUCCCCUGGACCUGUACUGACGCUCAUGCACGAAAGCGUGGGGAGCAAACAGGAUUAGAAACCCUUGUAGUCCC